This 55-nucleotide small RNA is filed under the name Bacteroides sp. CAG:754. Its description in RNAcentral is "Bacillus-plasmid RNA". It matches the Rfam family "Bacillus-plasmid RNA". The record is from Rfam by way of RNAcentral. Lineage: Bacteria; Pseudomonadati; Bacteroidota; Bacteroidia; Bacteroidales; Bacteroidaceae.
GUUGUCAAUGGGAGUGGAUGAAGUGUGGGCGGAUAAGAUUGAUAACUUUAUCAUA